Molecule: long non-coding RNA, 1194 nt
Filed under: Homo sapiens (human)
Lineage: Eukaryota; Metazoa; Chordata; Mammalia; Primates; Hominidae
Description: HSALNT0398587
Source: RNAcentral
GAAAGGUGUCACAGUAGGAAUAAAGAGGCAGGUGUAGAAUAAUGAGUUCUUAUAUUUAUAUGUUGCCUUGGGAUUUAUUUUGAAUGUAAGUUGGACUUUCUCAUGCCAGAAGCAGGGCUUAGUCACCUGGACACAAUUUCCAAUUCUCUACCUCCUCCCAGUUCCCCAAGGUGGUUAAUCCAAAUGUCUGCCUUAUACAACCAUCUCCUUGUGACCAGCUCCCUAUGGGACAUACAGCUACAACCUACUUGACUUACGUAUUGACUCCUGUGUCCCUCAUAGGCUGCGCAGAUAUACUGCAGCAACCACCUCUCAGUCACAGUGUGGCUCCACAGAACUCCUGCCUGCUAGCUCUAAACCCCCAGUUAGAACUCCCUGUGGGAAGCCUGCUUAGAUUAUGCCCUGGACUCUAAUUAAGGCUUUGGCUCAUGGGUUCUUCUCUCUCUCUCUCUCUCUCUUGCCCCCUACCCACUGGAUGAGCACUUGCGUCCUGGUCAGUUCCCUCCUUUCCAUUCGCCCUUCCAGGCUUGCUGUGCUAUCUUCUCUCUGGGACCUGUUCUGGGCACGUACAGUGUGAGAAAUCAGACAUAGACCCUGACCUAGGCAGGAGGAGCGGAUUAUUGAUGAAGCAAAUGUAUACCUUCGGCAUAGGUUACAAGGUGUCUUAUGUGCAAACCAGAAAAGAGAUGGCAAUUCUGAUCCUGGACCCAGUUUCCAUGAAAGAGAAACAAAAUGGAGCAGAUCCUGUCCCCAGCAAAGAUGGUAACCAGAUACAAUGGGACAAACAUUGUCUGCCCCUCACUGCAGAAUUCAGAGUAUGGACAGGAUUAUGAUGUGCCAGUGUCCAACAGGCAUGUGUUGGGUAAGCACCAGAGGCCCACUGGGGUGAGGAGAAGGAGAACGGAGGUGGAAGCUCACUGGUCUUUGACAUUCUCCUUGCCAUUUUCUCCACUCCAAACUCCCAGGGCUGGUGGAUCACAAUGCAACGAGAGUCCUUGACCAAUGUUGCUUCUCCACGAGGGUCUGAAGAUGGAGGGAUGACUUAAGCUGCCUUACUGGGGUGAUAGGAAGUGGGACUGGUUGGGUGUGGUUUGGGUUCUUGAGGGGAUCCACCCUGGGGCUUGUCCCAGUCAUUUCUCUUUUUUUGAGACGAUGCUUCACUGUUGUUGCCCAGGCUGGAGUGCAAUGGCAUGA